RNAcentral lists this ribosomal RNA (683 nucleotides) under uncultured Gammaproteobacteria bacterium. Its description in RNAcentral is "bacterial SSU rRNA". It matches the Rfam family "Bacterial small subunit ribosomal RNA", at positions 46 to 732 of the family's 1533-position model. Lineage: Bacteria; Pseudomonadati; Pseudomonadota; Gammaproteobacteria. The record is from RNAcentral.
GGUACAGACAUAAAAGAUUCAGCUUGCUGAAUCCGGUGCUGACGAGCGGCGAACGGGUGAGUAACGCGUAGGAAUCUACCCAGUAGCGGGGGAUAGCCCGAGGAAACUCGGAUUAAUAUCGCAUACGCCCUGAGGGGGAAAGGGGGCAGUUUACUGCUCUCACUAUUGGAUGAGCCUGCGUAAGAUUAGCUUGUUGGUAGGGUAAUGGCCUACCAAGGCGACGAUCUUUAGCUGGUCUGAGAGGACGAUCAGCCACAUUGGGACUGAGACACGGCCCAGACAUUUACGGAUGGCAGCAGUUAAGAAUAUUGGACAAUGGGGGCAACCCUGAUCCAGGUAUACCGCGUGUGUGAAGAAGGCCCUAGGGUUGUAAAGCACUUUAAUCAGAGAAGAAGCAUUUUAAGUUAAUACCUUAAUAUGUUGACGUUACCUGAAGAAUAAGGACCGGCUAACUCCGUGCCAGCAGCCGCGGUAAUACGGAGGGUCCAAGCGUUAAUCGGAAUUACUGGGCGUAAAGCGCGCGUAGGCGGUUUAGCAAGUUGUAUGUGAAAGCCCUGGGCUCAACCUAGGAACUGCAUCCAAAACUACUAAGCUAGAGUACGAGAGAGGAGAGUAGAAUUUCUGGUGUAGCGGUGAAAUGCGUAGAUAUCAGACGGAAUCCCAUGGCGAAGGCAGCUCUCUGG